AGCGAACGCUGGCGGCAGGCUUAACACGUGCAAGUCGAGCGGGCAUCCUUGUGGUGUCCGCGGCAGACGGGUGAGUAACGCGUGGGAACGUGCCCUUCGGUUCGGAAUAACUCAGGGAAACUUGAGCUAAUACCGGAUACGUGCGAGAGCAGAAAGGUUUAUCUGCCGAAGGAUCGGCCCGCGUCUGAUUAGCUAGUUGGUGAGGUUAUGGCUCACCAAGGCGACGAUCAGUAGCUGGUCUGAGAGGAUGAUCAGCCACACUGGGACUGAGACACGGCCCAGACUCCUACGGGAGGCAGCAGUGGGGAAUAUUGGACAAUGGGGGCAACCCUGAUCCAGCCAUGCCGCGUGAGUGAUGACGGCCUUAGGGUUGUAAAGCUCUUUUCUUCGGGACGAUAAUGACGGUACCGGAGGAAUAAGCCCCGGCUAACUUCGUG
RNAcentral lists this ribosomal RNA (437 nucleotides) under uncultured bacterium. RNAcentral's name for it is "partial 16S ribosomal RNA". It matches the Rfam family "Bacterial small subunit ribosomal RNA", at positions 29 to 507 of the family's 1533-position model. The record is from RNAcentral.